Molecule: ribosomal RNA, 492 nt
Filed under: uncultured bacterium
Lineage: Bacteria
Description: partial 16S ribosomal RNA
Rfam family: Bacterial small subunit ribosomal RNA
Source: RNAcentral
AGUGAACGCUGGCGGUAUGCCUAACACAUGCAAGUCGAACGGCAACACAGUAAGUUCUUGCGCUUACGGGUUGCGAGUGGCGGACGUGUGACGAAGACAUCGUAAUCUACUUUUUCGGAUGGGCUUACGUAGGUAAACUUACUCUCAUACCGCAUCCCACCUACGGUUGUAUGCAGGGGAUCUUUUCACCUUGCGCUAUUCUAUCAGCCUAUGUCGGAUUAGCUAGUUGGCGGGGUAAAGGCCCACCCAGGCGACGAUCCGUAUCUGGUGUGAGAGGAUGAUGCGCGACACUGGAACUGAGACACGGCACAGACUCCUACGGGAGGCAGCAGUGCGGAAUAUUGGACGAUGGGCGCAAGCCUGAUCCAGCCAUACCAGGUGGGUGCAGAAGGCCUUCGGGUUGUAAAGCCCUUUUGUUGGGAAAGAAAAGCUGCAGGUUAAUACAACGCUGUUCUGACGGUACCUAAAGAAUAAGCACCGGCUAACUUCGUG